GUGGGGAAUCUUGCGCAAUGGGCGAAAGCCUGACGCAGCCAUGUCGCGUGAAUGAUGAAGGUCUUAGGAUUGUAAAAUUCUUUCACCGGGGACGAUAAUGACGGUACCCGGAGAAGAAGCCCCGGCUAACUUCGUGCCAGCAGCCGCGGUAAUACGAAGGGGGCUAGCGUUGCUCGGAAUUACUGGGCGUAAAGGGCGCGUAGGCGGACAGCUUAGUCAGAGGUGAAAGCCCAGGGCUCAACCUUGGAAUUGCCUUUGAUACUGGCUGUCUUGAGUUUGGGAGAGGUGAGUGGAACUCCGAGUGUAGAGGUUAAAUUCGUAGAUAUUCGGAAGAACACCAGUGGCGAAGGCGACUCACUGGCCCGUUACUGACGCUGAGGCGCGAAAGCGUGGGGAGCAAACAGGAUUAGAAACCCCAGUAGUCC
This 425-nucleotide ribosomal RNA is filed under the name uncultured bacterium. RNAcentral's name for it is "partial 16S ribosomal RNA". It matches the Rfam family "Bacterial small subunit ribosomal RNA", at positions 354 to 796 of the family's 1533-position model. The record is from RNAcentral.